GACGAACGCUGGCGGCGUGCUUAACACAUGCAAGUCGAACGGAAAGGCCCUGCUUUUGUGGGGUGCUCGAGUGGCGAACGGGUGUGUAACACGUGAGUAACCUGCCCUUGACUUUGGGAUAACUUCAGGAAACUGGGGCUAAUACCGGAUAGGAGCUCCUGCUGCAUGGUGGGGGUUGGAAAGUUUCGGCGGUUGGGGAUGGACUCGCGGCUUAUCAGCUUGUUGGUGGGGUAGUGGCUCACCAAGGCUUUGACGGGUAGCCGGCCUGAGAGGGUGACCGGCAACAUUGGGACUGAGAUACGGCCCAGACUCCUACGGGAGGCAGCAGUGGGAAAUAUUGCACAAUGGGCGGAAGCCUGAUGCAGCAACGCCGCGUGCGGGAUGACGGCCUUCGGGUUGUAAACCGCUUUCGCCUGUGACGAAGCGUGAGUGACGGUAAUGGGUAAAGAAGCACCGGCUAACUACGUG
Molecule: ribosomal RNA, 468 nt
Filed under: uncultured bacterium
Lineage: Bacteria
Description: partial 16S ribosomal RNA
Rfam family: Bacterial small subunit ribosomal RNA
Source: RNAcentral